GAUGAACGCUGGCGGCGUGCCUAAUACAUGCAAGUCGAGCGAACGGACGAGAAGCUUGCUUCUCUGAUGUUAGCGGCGGACGGGUGAGUAACACGUGGAUAACCUACCUAUAAGACUGGGAUAACUUCGGGAAACCGGAGCUAAUGCCGGAUAAUAUUUUGAACCGCAUGGUUCAAAAGUGAAAGACGGUCUUGCUGUCACUUAUAGAUGGAUCCGCGCUGCAUUAGCUAGUUGGUAAGGUAACGGCUUACCAAGGCAACGAUGCAUAGCCGACCUGAGAGGGUGAUCGGCCACACUGGAACUGAGACACGGUCCAGACUCCUACGGGAGGCAGCAGUAGGGAAUCUUCCGCAAUGGGCGAAAGCCUGACGAAGCAACGCCGCGUGAGUGAUGAAGGUCUUCGGAUCGUAAAACUCUGUUAUUAGGGAAGAACAUAUGUGUAAGUAACUGUGCACAUCUUGACGGUACCUAAUCAGAAAGCCACGGCUAACUACGUG
Molecule: ribosomal RNA, 497 nt
Filed under: uncultured bacterium
Lineage: Bacteria
Description: partial 16S ribosomal RNA
Rfam family: Bacterial small subunit ribosomal RNA
Source: RNAcentral